RNAcentral lists this ribosomal RNA (439 nucleotides) under uncultured bacterium. RNAcentral's name for it is "bacterial SSU rRNA". It matches the Rfam family "Bacterial small subunit ribosomal RNA", at positions 337 to 791 of the family's 1533-position model. The record is from RNAcentral.
UCCUACGGGGGGCAGCAGUGGGGAAUAUUGCACAAUGGGCGCAAGCCUGAUGCAGCAACGCCGCGUGAAUGAUGAAGGCCUUCGGGUCGUAAAGUUCUGUCCAAAGGGAAGAAUACAGUGACGGUACCUUUGGAGGAAGCCCCGGCUAACUACGUGCCAGCAGCCGCGGUAAUACGUAGGGGGCAAGCGUUAUCCGGAAUCACUGGGCGUAAAGGGAGCGUAGGCGGUUUGACAAGCCAGAGGUGAAAGGCAAUAGCUUAACUAUUGUAAGCCUUUGGAACUGUCAGACUUGAGUGCAGGAGAGGAAAGUGGAAUUCCUAGUGUAGCGGUGAAAUGCGUAGAUAUUAGGAGGAACACCAGUGGCGAAGGCGACUUUCUGGACUGUAACUGACGCUGAGGCUCGAAAGCGUGGGGAGCGAACAGGAUUAGAUACCCCGGU